GAUGAACGCUGGCGGCGUGCCUAAUACAUGCAAGUCGAGCGAACAGACGAGGAGCUUGCUCCUCUGACGUUAGCGGCGGACGGGUGAGUAACACGUGGAUAACCUACCUAUAAGACUGGGAUAACUUCGGGAAACCGGAGCUAAUCCCGGAUAAUCUAUUGAACCGCAUGGUUCAAUAGUGAAAGUCGGUUUUGCUGUCACUUAUAGAUGGAUCCGCGCCGCAUUAGCUAGUUGGUAAGGUAACGGCUUACCAAGGCGACGAUGCGUAGCCGACCUGCGAGGGUGAUCGGCCACACUGGAACUGGGACACGGUCCAGACUCCUACGGGAGGCAGCAGUAGGGAAUCUGCCGCAAUGGGCGAAAGCCUGACGGAGCAACGCCGCGUGAGUGAUGAAGGUCUUCGGAUCGUAAAACUCUGUUAUUAGGGAAGAACAAAUGUGUAAGUAACUAUGCACGUCUUGACGGUACCUAAUCAGAAAGCCACGGCUAACUACGUG
Molecule: ribosomal RNA, 497 nt
Filed under: uncultured bacterium
Lineage: Bacteria
Description: partial 16S ribosomal RNA
Rfam family: Bacterial small subunit ribosomal RNA
Source: RNAcentral